This 254-nucleotide ribosomal RNA is filed under the name uncultured bacterium. Its description in RNAcentral is "partial 16S ribosomal RNA". It matches the Rfam family "Bacterial small subunit ribosomal RNA", at positions 524 to 776 of the family's 1533-position model. The record is from RNAcentral.
UACGUAGGGUGCAAGCGUUUGUCCGGAAUUAUUGGGCGUAAAGAGCUCGUAGGCGGUCUGUCGCGUCGGCUGUGAAAUCCCGGAGCUCAACUCCGGGUCUGCAGUCGAUACGGGCAAACUGGAGUACUGCAGGGGAGACUGGAAUUCCUGGUGUAGCGGUGAAAUGCGCAGAUAUCAGGAGGAACACCGGUGGCGAAGGCGGGUCUCUGGGCAGUAACUGACGCUGAGGAGCGAAAGCGUGGGGAGCGAACAGG